GUGAUGGAAAGGCAGAUGUGCACAGCACUCCGAGGUGCUCUGCUGGGCUCCUGCCUUUAUAGGAAGGCACACCUUCUGCUCAAAGUCAACCUGAAUCAGUGAGAACCCUCGGACAUCAUUCACCUUCAGUCUCAGCCAGACUGUAAGGGUAGAAGGCAGCCACUCAUUGCUACUAAUUACCAUGCAAAGUGGGGAUGAAGAUUAAAUUCUGGUCCAUAGGAUCUCACCCAGCCACGUGGGAUCAUCCAGAGAUGAAAUGGAGCAGAUGAAACAAAGCCCCGAGUAUGCAGUGAAAGCCAGUGCUGUGCAGCCAGCUCCUGUGACAGACACCGUGGACAAAGAAGCCCUACCACUGAUCCCCAGCAGGGUUACAGAUUUCACAGAAGCACGGCCAAAGGCACGGCAACCAGCUACAUCCGUGUCUGGACAGAAGACCUGAAGUGACCACAGGUACUGAAAGACAAAGAACAGCCCUCGUCAGCUGUACAAGCUUUCUAAGCACAGCUCCCACAUACCUCUGAGGCAGAAAGGCUCUCAUUCUUACCCCCAGGCCUACCCGUAGCACAGUCUGCACCUAUUACUUUGUCUAAGAGCUUUUAUUGAGUCUCCUUUCACCCAUAUGCUCUCCUUCAGUGGGAGUGCCUUAAACUCACCAGUUGCUUUUCCAUCCCUUGGGUUAACUACACGAUUACCAAGGGACAGAUGCUAAACUGCACAGGAGCCAAAACCACGGAGGUGCUCUCCAAUGCACCAAUGCAUCACUUCAGAUAAAAGCACAGCUUUUGUGCUUCAAAAGCAGUGAGCACCAGAAACCACACACCUCCCCAGCAAAAGGCUCCAGUCUGCUGUGACAAAAAGGCAGUAUUCUGCCUCGCUGCAGGAAAUCUGCUGUUGAGUUCGCUAUACCAACUACUGGAGUUUGUCAAAAGGGUUAGCACAAAGCAUUUAUAUGUUUAUUUAAAUAAAAAUUAUAAUUUAUACAAGACUUUUUAAACAAACAACAUUUUCUUAAAAAAUGUACAGGGCAAAUCAUUUCAUUAUCUCAAUUUUUCGUACAGUAUAAGUCUUUUGUCAAACAAAAGUUACACUGAUAAUGAGUUAUUUACAACUUCAAAAUAUAGACUCAAACUUCAGACAUAAAAAUUUUAACAUCCAUUAUAUUUCAAUGAUUAGUAGUAGAAAUUAAACAUCUGCCAAAAUGUACAGAAUUCAAUAAAAACUACCAGUGUUUUUCAUACAAGUUUAAGUAGCCAAAAAAAAGUACAUCCUUUCAUCUCCUCAGGAUUGGGUGAAAUCUCCGUUCUUCUUUGCCUGCAGGAACAACAGUGGGGUUUUGCUGCUGGCUUCCCGUGUGAUGCUGCUACUUAGAAAUAGCUUGUUUCAUUCAAUCUUGCCUCACAAAAGCCACAGUGUAUGGAAAGGCAUGAUUUCAUAUUUCAGCUUUUUUUUUUUUUCCUUCUGAAUUGAAACGGUCACCAAUAAGUAACUGAAGUAGUCAGUUUUCAUCUCCCUUUUUUUCUUCCUUUAAAAGGGACUCAAACUAACCAAUGCACUUCUGCUAAAAGAAGUUAAAUCCAACAGCAGCGAACCGCACACAUCAACAGAACUGCAAAUAUAAACAGCAAACAGAAUGACAAGAACAUCACUUUCUGCUAUUAGAAAGUAACACUUCACAUUAAGUGGUACUACCCAGCCUGCUAAUGAAGCAAAGCAGGUUACACUGCAAAGUUACGUAGGACAAGUGGAGUUUAAGGUUAAUUUGAGUGUAAUUGUACAAAUCAAGUAUACAUUUACUCACUGUCCUGCCCCUGCUGCCCUCCAAGCAUACAAGGAUGCAGCAGAGGAACGAGCACAGGAGUACUCAGAAGUAAACACACUGAGGGUACCUUGGAGCAGCAGUGAUGUUCUGUAACGCACAACGCCGUUGCACAGCAGGAACCUGGACAACCUCAUGUAAAGUGAACUUUGCAAAAUAUGUACAUAGACGUCCGCUAUAUUACAGCUCCUACAAAAAUCCAGUCUGUUUUCUACACAUUAGAAUGAAAUGGUGUUGCAUUGCAGUUUGCCCUAGGUUUACUGCUUAAGGAAUUGCUCGUUUUCAAAUUCACACUGUUAAAACGUGCACUGAUUCUGAAUGCCAACACAUCAGAUUUUGUAAAAAGUUUUUUAAUUCCUUUGUCCAGAAAGAAAAUAAAAUUAAGAGCAUAUUGUACAUGAGGCAUUUCAGGCUGGGAGAAAGGAUCGUCAUCUCUUUUCUCCUGCUCUGAAGCCCAGGCGUGUUGAACCACCCUGGCACCACAAGCACAGGACCUACAGCUCCUUCAGGAACCAGAAUCCUGGACAACCCUAUAAACCAGGGUCAACCAGUGAUGGGGGUGUGAGGGAAGUAACAAGUGUCAGUCAACUGAUUUCCUAUUGAAACUGCUGUUAUGAUCAGAGUGAAGGUAUAAAUUACACUUGAAAAAAUGAUACAAAAAUAAGAAAAAGAGCAUGCUCUCUGUAAAAAAUAUAGUUUUCUGUUUCUUCAACAACAAAAAAAAAAAGAACCAAAAACCAAUAGCUUUGAACACACCCAAGGGGUUUCUUCCUUAAGACAAAAUGAAUGAAUCUGGUUAAGAUUUAUAUAACAUUAAGCGAUUUUAAUGCCUAUUAGCCACACUCACUAUUCAGGGAAGCUUCUAGGAAGGAAAGUCAAACGACGAUACAAAACAAUUACAAAAAGAUUGACUGAUUUUAAAGCAGGUUUGAAGAAGAAAAUUAAGUUCAAGGAAUUUAAACAUAAAAUCUGCCUAUGUCAAGCGAAGAAACCACGAACUGCCAAGCUACAUCCAUGUUAGAUGGUGGCAAAAUGGAAUGCCUACCCGGCCUCACUUACACGUUAAGCUUUCAGGUCCUGAUGUACACACAUGGGCAGCAUUAGAAAUGCACCCCUUUUCCUGGUUGCAAAGCUCAAGAGAUCUCCACAAUGACAUCCCAGCCCUUGUGGAUUGUCUCCUGUUUCUGUUCACAGUUCCAUCCAGGGCAUGGUGCUUUACCACAGUCAGUGUUUUACUUCACAACACCCAACCAAAUCACAGUAUUCGACAGUAUUUCUUCAUAUCAGGUGUACUUUAGGUUCUUUGCAUCAUACCUCUUCACAGCCAGACUGAAAUAGUUUUGUACAGUUUAACUGCCUCCUUCAGUACUGCUGCAUUUAAGUUACUUUAAGUAAAAACUGUGCUAAGUGUUAAAGAUCCUUUGGUGUUUGGCUCUGCCACUCCUUCAUUCUAUCUUUUUCCCCAUGUAAAGAAAGAAAAAUCCCUGUUAAAAAAAAAAUCUGUGAAACUAAGUCCUAUUUUUUAUACAAGGAUUUGCAUUUCCAUUACUUUUUUGGGGUCCUCCAUAUAACACCUGGAGACAUCGCACUACUCAACUCAAAAGACACAGAGAAGGAACAGACAAACUGGAAGGCUUAGCGUAACUCCUACUGUGCUUCAAGAAAAAUGCAAAUAGAAUUCUAAACCUCUCAGACGGGUGCUAUUGUAUAGAAUAUAAAAGCUUACUGUACUAAAGUUGAAGGUCAAUAUGUGCUUUGCUACCAGAAAGGCCUGAGAGGGUUUAGAGAAGGAGCACAGCCUUCCUGUUUCACCUGGCAAUUGGGUUUAACUGUUAGUACAAUUUAAUUCCACGAGUGGAAACACAGUGACAUUGCAAUGCCCCUCAAAUGACAUUCUGAGAAGGAAAUAGUGCUUUCAGUUGCUAUCUCGUAGUGUUAUUAUAAGGUAACUCUAGAGAAAAGCCAAAUUAAAAAACGGCCAUGUUGCAGUUUAGUUUAACGACUCCCAGCUCCCCAACACAAAAAGCCCACAAGUCUUUGAUGCAAUAACAUACAAACACCUUGUACAUACAACAUGUACAACAGUUGAGCCCUUCUAUGACAAGUAUCUACAGAAAUACAAAUAUACGAUGCCUAACAUUUUAGGAACAACGUUUUGAUGCCCUCUUUUAUAAAAAGUAUCUGCCUGCCUUCCUUCCUCUUACUUUGGUGAAUCAGGAAAGGAAGAUAUAGCUAGAAACGUUUUCCUCCAAUUCACUGUACAAACAAUUUAGAUCUCUGUACGCAGAAAAAAACUGAUCCUAAGCCAACUGGAAAAUAACAUUCUUCGAUGCAAGGUUUAGCAAGGAGUUAUUUUAAGUGCAGUUACAAAUAUGGAAAUACUAAGAUGGUAAUGCUUCCUUGGUGUCGCCACCAGUUUUAAUAUAGAACCCAAUUAAAAACUUAAAGCUGAAGAAACAGAUUUCAGGAUAUUGCAGUUGUCGUUCUCACAUCUUGGGGAAAAAAUAACUGAGAUAAUGGGGCCAACGUAUCCCCAGUGAUUUAAGUGCAGUUAAAAGGGAUCAGUCUGUUUCAGUCCAUUAUUCAGUCACUUCUCCUAGCGUCUUUCGAGCUACUCAUCUCAGUAAAUAAACAUUAAAAGUGCUUAAUGUACAAGGCUAAUAGUGAUGAUAGCACUUCCACUGUUUUGCUUCAUUUUGGUUGUGUUUUUUUUUUUUGUGGGUUUUUUACAAUUUUUUUUUUUUUUU
Gallus gallus (chicken) is the source of this 4563-nucleotide long non-coding RNA. RefSeq lists it as uncharacterized. The record is from RefSeq and is a predicted model, not a curated record. The transcript has 3 exons. NCBI's taxonomy places the organism in Eukaryota, Metazoa, Chordata, Aves, Galliformes, Phasianidae.